CCUACGGGAGGCAGCAGUGAGGAAUAUUGGUCAAUGGGCGCGAGCCUGAACCAGCCAAGUAGCGUGAAGGAUGACUGCCCUACGGGUUGUAAACUUCUUUUGUAAGGGAAUAAUGAGAGUUACGUGUGCCUUUUUGUCAGUACCUUACGAAUAAGGAUCGGCUAACUCCGUGCCAGCAGCCGCGGUAAUACGGAGGAUCCGAGCGUUAUCCGGAUUUAUUGGGUUUAAAGGGAGCGUAGAUGGGUUGUUAAGUUAGGUGUGAAAGUUUGGGGCUCAACCGUAAAAAUGCAAUUGAUACUGGCAAGCUAGAGUACAGUUGAGGUAGGCGGAAUUCGUGGAGUAGCGGUGAAAUGCAUAGAUAUAACGAAGAACACCGAUAGCGAAGGCAGCUUACUAGACUGCCACUGACGGUGAUGCUCGAAAGCGUGGGUAGCAAACAGGAUUAGAUACCCGAGUAGUC
RNAcentral lists this ribosomal RNA (460 nucleotides) under uncultured bacterium. RNAcentral's name for it is "partial 16S ribosomal RNA". It matches the Rfam family "Bacterial small subunit ribosomal RNA", at positions 338 to 795 of the family's 1533-position model. The record is from RNAcentral.